AUUGCCCCAGUAACGGCGAGUGAAGCGGCAACAGCUCAAAUUUGAAAUCUGGCCCCCAGGGCCCGAGUUGUAAUUUGCAGAGGAUGCUUUUGGCGAGGCGCCUUCCGAGUUCCCUGGAACGGGACGCCACAGAGGGUGAGAGCCCCGUCUGGUCGGCCGCCGAGCCUCUGUAAAGCUCCUUCGACGAGUCGAGUAGUUUGGGAAUGCUGCUCUAAAUGGGAGGUAUAUGUCUUCUAAAGCUAAAUACCGGCCAGAGACCGAUAGCGCACAAGUAGAGUGAUCGAAAGAUGAAAAGCACUUUGAAAAGAGGGUUAAACAGUACGUGAAAUUGUUGAAAGGGAAGCGCUCACGACCAGACUUGGCCGCGGCGAAUCACCCGGCGUUCUCNGCCGGUGCACUUCGCCGGGGNCCAGGCCAGCAUCGGUUCGCGCCGGGGGACAAAGGCUUCGGGAAUGUGGCUCCCCAGGGAGUGUUAUAGCCCGCUGCGCAAUGCCCCGGCGCGGACCGAGGUUCGCGCAUCNUGCAAGGAUGCUGGCGUAAUGGUCGUCAGCGACCCGUCUUGAAACACGGACCAAGGAGUCGUCUUCGUAUGCGAGUGUUCGGGUGUCAAACCCCUACGCGUAAUGAAAGUGAACGCAGGUGAGAGCUUCGGCGCAUCAUCGACCGAUCCUGAUGUUCUCGGAUGGAUUUGAGUAGGAGCAUACGGGGCCGGACCCGAAAGAAGGUGAACUAUGCCUGUAUAGGGUGAAGCCAGAGGAAACUCUGGUGGAGGCUCGCAGCGGUUCUGACGUGCAAAUCGAUCGUCAAAUAUGGGCAUGGGGGCGAAAGACUAAUCGA
Molecule: ribosomal RNA, 837 nt
Filed under: Nigelia martialis
Lineage: Eukaryota; Fungi; Ascomycota; Sordariomycetes; Hypocreales; Clavicipitaceae
Description: Nigelia martiale partial 28S ribosomal RNA
Rfam family: Eukaryotic large subunit ribosomal RNA
Source: RNAcentral